Non-coding RNA from Rattus norvegicus (Norway rat), 1303 nucleotides. Lineage: Eukaryota; Metazoa; Chordata; Mammalia; Rodentia; Muridae. The record is from RefSeq and is a predicted model, not a curated record.
UCUACAGAAGAGGCAGGAAGUCCCCUGGGCCUCUUCAGAGAAACGGCCCCGCUGAGAUAAAAGACAGAGGAUGAAGGUCUUGCUGGUACAGCAUCCUCCUUGCUGGUACCUCAUCCUCCAACCUGUGCCUCCUGCACUUCGCUGCACUUUCUUUCAUCCCAUUCCACGCGUCCCUCACAUCCUCCCAUCCCAAACUCUGCUGAGCGCAGCCUUUGAUUUCUCAUGUUCAGGGGCUCUCCCUUCCUGCCAUUAGUAGGGAAUCGCCACACACACGGAACAGUGCUGGUUAAGAGGCCAAGGAUACAACCCAACAGGGCUGUACCACAAACCUCUCCCCGAGUUCUCUCCUCCCUUGCUGAUCUGUGUCUGCAAGCCUGGAUCACAUGGGGAGGUGCUUUGAUGGGCAGUAUGGUCUCCAGCCCGUAGAGAAACAAAGUCCCUACAGACAUGUCAGCUAGCCUCCAUAGUGACAAAAAAGCAUGACUUCGGUGUGCGUUCCACUCCUGUCCCCAGCUCCUGACCCUGUCGGGUCAUUCACUGCUGUUUAGAGCCUUGACAAAUGAAGACACAGGCAUCUCCUGUUCUAGGUGACAGAGGAGACCCUCGGUCUGCAGACACUUAUCUCCACUCUCCAGAAAUGGCAAGUGCUGGAUUGGCUGUUGGGGGAGGAAUUUCGGUAGCAGAACACCUGACUGGCACGCGUGACGUCCUAGGUCCAUCCCCAAUAAUAGGGGUGAAAUCUGCAGUCAAGUGCUGAGCCGAAGCACCGCGUGCCAGCCAUGUCUGACCUACUGUGUUCAGCAGGUCCCAUUCAUCAUGGAGCGGUGAUAUGCAGACCCACAGUUUCAAAACCAAAGGUAUCCAAGGACAGAGCUUAUCUGAGAUGCUGGCCAGAACCUGAGUCUGCUUUUUCGGAUGCUUUGGGCUUCCUUUUCUCUGAAGCACCCUCUCUGCCACAUGGACACCUGUCUGCCAUUCCCUAUCUCCUCCUAUGGGUCACUGCUGAGGGCCAAUGCUACCAGCUCAGAGGGGGCCCUCUAAACUCCAGGUUUUCUAAACUCUGGUCCAAUUGCUCUGUUUGAGUGUGUGUGUGUGUGUGUGUGUGUGUGUGUGUGUGUGGGCAUGUGUGCAUGCGUGCGCGAGUGUGUGCGUGUGUGCAUGUGUGCGACCAUGUGAGUGCGUGUGUGUUGUGUUUGCACAUGCCACAUCAUGCUUGUAGAGGCCAGAGGACAACUCUUGGGAGACAGUUCUCUCCUUCUGCUGCGUGGAUCCUUGGAUUAAAUUCAGGUUGUCAGGCUUGGCA